This 471-nucleotide long non-coding RNA is filed under the name Brassica napus (rape). RNAcentral's name for it is "long non-coding RNA (BNAP_LNC024605)". Lineage: Eukaryota; Viridiplantae; Streptophyta; Magnoliopsida; Brassicales; Brassicaceae. The record is from RNAcentral.
AUAUAUUUGUUUAAAUUAUUUGGAGAUUUUCAAAAUAUAACUCAUAAAUUAAUAAAUGAUUAAUGAAAUUAUCAAUACUACCUUAUGACCAAACAAAAACUAGAACGUCCUUUCACGAUUUUAUCCUUAUGAAAUCCACUAUUAAUAAAAGAAUCUACUAGAGAUGAGCUAGUGAUUGGUGAUGGAUGUGAGUGCUCUACACAUCUACAGUUAUUUCUACAUCAAUAAAAUCAAAACAAUUAAGCUUUAUUAAAAAAAUUAAAGUUACAGCAAAAAAUGUUAAAAAUAAAAUAUAUUGGAUGUAGAAAUCAAUUUUUUUCUGGAGCUUUAUAUUUAGUGCUUUUAAUUCUCUGAAAUAAUUUUACAAAAAUAAAAUCUAAAGUUACAAAAUCUACAACUUAAAUUUGAUAGCAAAAAAUUCAAAGCUACAGAUGCUGCCAAUCAUUCCCAUUAUCUAUAACUUGACCAAAC